GAAUACCAAAAUCAUCGUUGAUUAGCACACAGGUCGUUUAUGCUGUCUGGUGCAUGUUAGGAUUAGUGUCCUUGUUUAGCAUGUCAUCUCAUUUUAUCCCGACCUUUUGUGCUUUCUUGCUCAUUAAACCUAAAACCAUAUAAAGGAACUAUAAAAAAUUUUCAACCAUGGAUAUCUUGGUUCCCCUUCUUCGAACAGCGCCGCUCAGCGCUGUAAGCAAUGCGCAUUGCAAAAUUCCGCGAAUCAUGCAAUCCUUGAACGCAACUGGCGCUAGGGGGCUCUCCCUCUAACAUGUCUGUUUGAUGUCAGAAAACUUCAUAUCUUCCAUUAUGUGAAAGAUGAUCUCAUGUUAUAUGUAGGAUAGCUUGACUCCCAUAUAAAAUAUAAGUGCGGGUCUCUGAACCCCAUACUGAAAUGUGCAUCUAUAUCGAAUGAUUAAAUUAGGGAUUGUCUCCGCUACCUGGAUAACCCUGUGGCCCUCCUGGUUCAGGGUUGUAGCAUCUGAAAUCAAGUGCCAACACCCGCUGAUCUAGCGGCUAUCUAUUCACGUAGAUACCCGUUCUAGUUCAGAAUUGAUCGCAACGUUUCUAUUUCUAUAGAUACGGAAGGCGUGAGUGAACACGACCACUGCAUUCGAAGCAGCUUGAUUGAGCUAAUGCUUUGAACGCACGCUAGUAAAGUGGUAGAGUUUGCUCUAAUGCUUUGCAUUUUGCAACCUGAGCUCAGACGUGAUUACCCCGCUGAACUUUAAGCAUAUU
RNAcentral lists this ribosomal RNA (758 nucleotides) under Heterorhabditis indica. RNAcentral's name for it is "eukaryotic LSU rRNA". The stretch from base 157 to 308 matches the Rfam family "5.8S ribosomal RNA". The record is from RNAcentral. RNAcentral also lists the same sequence under 1 other name. Lineage: Eukaryota; Metazoa; Nematoda; Chromadorea; Rhabditida; Heterorhabditidae.